This 498-nucleotide ribosomal RNA is filed under the name uncultured bacterium. RNAcentral's name for it is "bacterial SSU rRNA". It matches the Rfam family "Bacterial small subunit ribosomal RNA", at positions 26 to 518 of the family's 1533-position model. The record is from RNAcentral.
AGGACGAACGCUGGCGGCGUGCUUAACACAUGCAAGCCGAACGAGGAUUAUGUUGGAAGGGCUUCGGCCUGGAAGGCGUAAUUCGAGUGGCGGACGGGUGAGUAACGCGUGAACAAUCUGUCCCGGACAGGGGAAUAACACUUGGAAACAGGUGCUAAUACCGCAUAAGACCACGCCCUCGCAUGGGGGAGGGGUAAAAGGAGGAAUCCGGUUCGGGGUGAGUUCGCGUCCGAUUAGAUAGUUGGUGAGGUAACGGCCCACCAAGUCGACGAUCGGUAGCCGACCUGAGAGGGUGAUCGGCCACAUUGGAACUGAGAGACGGUCCAAACUCCUACGGGAGGCAGCAGUGGGGAAUAUUGGGCAAUGGGCGAAAAAGCCUGACCCAGCAACGCCGCGUGAGUGAAGAAGGCUUUCGGGUUGUAAAGCUCUGUUAUAGGGGACGAAGGAAGUGACGGUACCCUAUAAGGAAGCCCCGGCUAACUACGUGCCAGCCGCAGC